GUGGGGAAUAUUGGACAAUGGGCGCAAGCCUGAUCCAGCAAUGCCGCGUGGGUGAAGAAGGUCUUCGGAUCGUAAAGCCCUUUCGACAGGGACGAUGAUGACGGUACCUGUAGAAGAAGCCCCGGCUAACUUCGUGCCAGCAGCCGCGGUAAUACGAAGGGGGCUAGCGUUACUCGGAAUUACUGGGCGUAAAGGGCGCGUAGGCGGCUCUGUUAGUCAGGCGUGAAAUUCCUGGGCUUAACCUGGGGACUGCGCUUGAUACUGCAGGGCUUGAGGCCGAGAGAGGGUGGUGGAAUUCCCAGUGUAGAGGUGAAAUUCGUAGAUAUUGGGAAGAACACCAGUGGCGAAGGCGACUCACUGGCCCAAUACUGACGCUGAGGCGCGAAAGCGUGGGGAGCAAACAGGAUUAGAUACCCCGGUAGUCC
This 425-nucleotide ribosomal RNA is filed under the name uncultured bacterium. Its description in RNAcentral is "partial 16S ribosomal RNA". It matches the Rfam family "Bacterial small subunit ribosomal RNA", at positions 354 to 796 of the family's 1533-position model. The record is from RNAcentral.